RNAcentral lists this ribosomal RNA (419 nucleotides) under bacterium. RNAcentral describes it as "partial 16S ribosomal RNA". It matches the Rfam family "Bacterial small subunit ribosomal RNA", at positions 355 to 776 of the family's 1533-position model. The record is from RNAcentral.
UGGGGGAUAUUGCACAAUGGGCGAAAGCCUGAUGCAGCGACGCCGCGUGGGGGAUGAAGGCCUUCAGGUUGUAAACUUCUUUUGCUCUGAACAAGGCAUGCUAAUGGGUGUGUUGAGUGUAGGGGUUGAUUAGCGCCGGCUAACUACGUGCCAGCAGCCGCGGUAAUACGUAGGGCGCGAGCGUUGUCCGGAAUUAUUGGGCGUAAAGGGCUUGUAGGUGGCUGGUUGCGUCUGUCGUGAAAGCUCAUGGCUUAACUGUGGGUUUGCGGUGGGUACGGGCUGGCUUGAGUGCAGUAGGGGAGGCUGGAAUUCCUGGUGUAGCGGUGGAAUGCGCAGAUAUCAGGAGGAAUACCGGUGGCGAAGGCGGGUCUCUGGGCUGUUACUGACACUGAGGAGCGAAAGCAUGGGGAGCGAACAGG